Molecule: ribosomal RNA, 458 nt
Filed under: uncultured bacterium
Lineage: Bacteria
Description: partial 16S ribosomal RNA
Rfam family: Bacterial small subunit ribosomal RNA
Source: RNAcentral
CUACGGGACGCUCCAGUAAGGAAUAUUGCGCAAUGGAGGCAACUCUGACGCAGCCAUGCCGCGUGCAGGAAGAAGGCCUUAUGGGUCGUAAACUGCUUUUAUUUAGGAAUAAACCCCCGAACGUGUUCGGGGCUGAAGGUACUAAACGAAUAAGCACCGGCUAACUCCGGCCAGCAGCCGCGGUAAUACGGAGGGUGCAAGCGUUAUCCGGAUUUAUUGGGUUUAAAGGGUGCGCAGGCGGGCUAUUAAGUCAGUGGUGAAAUCCCGGGGCUCAACUCCGGAACUGCCAUUGAUACUGAUAGUCUUGAGUUUGGUUGAAGUGGGCGGAAUGUAGCAUGUAGCGGUGAAAUGCAUAGAUAUGCUACAGAACACCAAUCGCGAAGGCAGCUCACUAAGCCAAAACUGACGCUCAUGCACGAAAGCGUGGGGAUCAAACAGGAUUAGAUACCCUAGUAGUC